UAAUACGUAGGGUGCAAGCGUUGUCCGGAAUUAUUGGGCGUAAAGAGCUCGUAGGCGGUCUGUCGCGUCUGCUGUGAAAACCUAGGGCUUAACUCUGGGCGUGCAGUGGGUACGGGCAGGCUAGAGUGCGGUAGGGGAGACUGGAAUUCCUGGUGUAGCGGUGAAAUGCGCAGAUAUCAGGAGGAACACCGGUGGCGAAGGCGGGUCUCUGGGCCGUAACUGACGCUGAGGAGCGAAAGCAUGGGGAGCGAACAGGAUUAGAUACCCUGGUAGUCCAUGCCGUAAACGUUGGGCGCUAGGUGUGGGGCUCAUUCCACGAGUUCUGCGCCGCAGCUAACGCAUUAAGCGCCCCGCCUGGGGAGUACGGCCGCAAGGCUA
Molecule: ribosomal RNA, 378 nt
Filed under: uncultured bacterium
Lineage: Bacteria
Description: bacterial SSU rRNA
Rfam family: Bacterial small subunit ribosomal RNA
Source: RNAcentral